This 89-nucleotide transfer RNA is filed under the name compost metagenome. RNAcentral's name for it is "tRNA-Leu". The record is from RNAcentral.
UUGGCCGGCGGGGUCCCGGCCUCGAUCACCGCCUUGAGGCGGGGGUCGGCGCCCGGCAGCCCGGCGUUGGGACCGCCGCUGGCCCAGCC